GGACUUAGAUGUUGGUACUAUUUUUUAGCCAAACCUGUGAGCAUGAUCGAAAACACUCGAUAUAGCAUGAAAUCAUUGAUGCCUUAAAGAUGCAUCGUUGUUCUAAGAUUGCCAGGUGACUUCUAGGGUCUGCUGUUCCGUCAUAUUUAUUCGAACUUGGCAGCUUGAAUUUUAUAGGGAGGGUUUCUGCAAUGAUCCUUUGACAAGGGUGGGGCAUCGUCCAGGC
This 226-nucleotide long non-coding RNA is filed under the name Manihot esculenta (cassava). RNAcentral's name for it is "long non-coding RNA (MESC_LNC013018)". Lineage: Eukaryota; Viridiplantae; Streptophyta; Magnoliopsida; Malpighiales; Euphorbiaceae. The record is from RNAcentral.